AUCACCCCUGCUGUCGCUCUUUUAUAUAUAUUAUGAUUAUUUUUUUUCUUUUUUAAUAUUUAAAAGAUAAUUAAAAUUUAUAUUAAUUUUUUAAGAAAAGAUUACACCAACGGUUGAGUUUUCUUAUUUAUUUGAUUCUUCUAAUUCAAAUUAUAUUAAUUUCUCUCAAAAAAACUACAUUAAUAGUAAUUUUUUUUAUUUGUUUAAUUAUUCUAAUGAUUAUUUUAGUAUCAUAACCAUCAAUAGAAAAAAAAAUUAAGAAUUAAAUUUUUUUUGCAUUAAAUCUUUCAAUGUAA
This 296-nucleotide long non-coding RNA is filed under the name Ricinus communis (castor bean). RNAcentral describes it as "long non-coding RNA (RCOM_LNC002213)". Lineage: Eukaryota; Viridiplantae; Streptophyta; Magnoliopsida; Malpighiales; Euphorbiaceae. The record is from RNAcentral.